GGGAGUGGGUUUACCAGGUGUCUCUACAAUUCAAAAAUUUAUGUAAUUAUAGCGUUAAUUCUCUUUACCCACAUUAGACAUUAGAAACCCUUAAGUAAUCUGAAACCUAUUUUUAUUAACUCACAUUGGAAACUGUCUUAAAUGGAAGUCUAAAUCAAACAAAAUCAAGAGUCUAAAUUCAGUAGAAAUACUUUUUUUUUUUCAGCAAACUACCCCUUCUGGACAAGUUUUUAAGAGUAAAAUGUUCCCGUUUUUUAAGUUAACCUGCUUUAGACCUCAUUGUGGUAGCUGUAUUUUUGUUUUUAUCUCCACCCCCUGUCAUUGUUGAUGAUAUAGCACUUGUCACUCUGCCUUGGAUUCUGUAUCUGUCUCUCUAAUCGGAGGUACAGUCGGUUGAGUAUAAAAUGAGGACCAGAUUUCAGAUCUGGGACUACCUACGUGCACUGUUCAAUUUUCCCAGUUUACAGUCGGACACUCAAGGGAAAACUUGCUCUUAUGCUGACAGAUUAGUGUGGUGUCAUUGCUUUGCAUUAAAAACAAAAAAAAGAACAAAAACAUGUUAAGAAAGAGAUGAACUAGAAACUGUUGCCAGCCAUGUCUCCUUCUGAGAACUAAACAUCAGUUUGGCUCUUGGAACUAUCAAUGCAGGAACCGCCAUAGAAAUAUCCUGCUUCAUACCAACUAUAGAAAUAUACUGCUCAGUACAGAAAAAUAAACAUUCUACAAAUUUCAUUUAAAAAGAUAAGUAAAAUGUGUUGUUGAUUUUUUUUAAGGUAACACUUCAAUAUCUUUAGGGGAGAACCUUAUUUAAAUUCAGUUUUAAUUUUUUGUUGUUCUACUGUUGUUUCUCUUUUCCGUCCUGGUGACAUCCAGGACUCGAUCACUAUGUAAUGAACAUGUCUCUCAUCUUUUUGCCUUCACUAUACACAAGUCUUCAGGUUGAACAAAAAUUUGAAUCGGGGAGAGAUUUAUGAUAUAUAAAUAUAUAGAGAGAACUUAAAACACAUAGGAAAAUGCACACUCAUGUAAGUUCCUAUGUUCAAAACACAUUUAUGGUCUACUUUUUUCCUGUAUUUAGAAUGGUAUUUGAAAUUAAUGUUCACUUAGUGUAGGCACUUAUAGUAUUUAUGUUGGAGCCUGUAUUUUUAACUGUUUUGCCUGUACUCUUUAAAGGUUUCAAUGUACCCUUUUUUCUGUAGUGAAAAAAAUCCCAACAAGCUGCCACCGUAUAUUUUCUUAUUUUGGCAGGAUAAUAUAGUGUGAAUAAUUUGUAUGCUUGAAAAUAAGUAUGUUUUUGAAAAAUAAAAUCUUGUGGUGUUCCCCAAGGGUGAGAGGUCAUAUGAUGGCCUUUUCAGGCAGUCCCGCUGGAGUGACCACAAUGAGGUAAAAACAGGUGGUUGUACAUAUCUUUUUAGUUUGUUUUAUAUAUUUUUCUCUCCUGCCAUUUUAUAUGCAGUAAUACAAGCUAUUGUUGGGUUUUCUUGGUAGCCAACUUUUUACUGUCCUUGAUCAUGUACCACCUGAUAACAUUCCAGCUGUUUUUUGAAAAAGACAUUUUGUCAUAUGCAAUCAAUCCAACAUCAAUCUGAAAAGCCUUUUUUUUGCUACAGUUUUCUUUUAGUUAUUUUGAUUUUUUUUUUCAUUGCCAAAAGGACCAUGGUGCUUUAUAAUUUAAAUAUGGUACAUCUCAUAUGCAAGGCAUAUCCUAAAUAGAACUGAAAUCAUGAAAAGAAAAGUUUGGUACAUGUUAUCAUUGUUGAUGGUAUUGAGGUACGUUUAAGUUUUCAGCCUGAUUUCAUCCUGUGUUCUGUAUUUACUCUCAAGCUAUUUGUUCUGAACUGAACUUGAAGUUGACCUGUGGCAUUGGCCAACAUUAUUUAUUAUGACUAUACACACACACACAUGCUCUGUUCAGAACAGAGUUACUGCAAAACAAACCAGUUCAGUUUUCUCCCUCCUGAUGAAUUGCGAUGGCUUAAUUUCUCUGUUCGAUGACCAAAGGUCAUUGACCGACAUUUAUGAGUUCUUUCUCAACCUACAGAUUUUUGUUGUUGUUAUAUUUCAGUUAUGGAGAUGCCACUCUAUUUUCAGCUGUUGUCUGCAUUAUUCUCUUCACUCAGCCAUUUUGUCUUGAAAAAAAAUAAAAAGUAUUACAUAC
This is a long non-coding RNA of Amphiprion ocellaris (clown anemonefish), 2158 nucleotides long. The record is from Ensembl. NCBI's taxonomy places the organism in Eukaryota, Metazoa, Chordata, Actinopteri, Pomacentridae.